Molecule: ribosomal RNA, 466 nt
Filed under: uncultured bacterium
Lineage: Bacteria
Description: partial 16S ribosomal RNA
Rfam family: Bacterial small subunit ribosomal RNA
Source: RNAcentral
GACGAGCGCUGGCGGCGUGCUUAACACAUGCAAGUCGAACGGAAAGGCCUCUUUCGGGGGGUACUCGAGUGGCGAACGGGUGAGUAACACGUGAGUAACCUGCCCUUGACUUUGGGAUAACUUCAGGAAACUGGGGCUAAUACCGGAUAGGAGCUCCUGCUGCAUGGUGGGGGUUGGAAAGUUUCGGCGGUUGGGGAUGGACUCGCGGCUUAUCAGCUUGUUGGUGGGGUAGUGGCUUACCAAGGCUUUGACGGGUAGCCGGCCUGAGAGGGUGACCGGCCACAUUGGGACUGAGAUACGGCCCAGACUCCUACGGGAGGCAGCAGUGGGGAAUAUUGCACAAUGGGUGGAAGCCUGAUGCAGCAACGCCGUGUGCGGGAUGACGGCCUUCGGGUUGUAAACCGCUUUCGCUCAUGACGAAGCUUUGUGUGACGGUAGUGGGUAAAGAAGCACCGGCUAACUACGU